Molecule: ribosomal RNA, 313 nt
Filed under: Arcyria affinis
Lineage: Eukaryota; Evosea; Eumycetozoa; Trichiida; Trichiidae
Description: eukaryotic LSU rRNA
Rfam family: 5.8S ribosomal RNA (bases 1-133)
Source: RNAcentral
UGGUUCUGGCAUCGAUGAAAAACGCAGCGAAAUGCGAUACGUAGUGUGAAUUUCAGAAUUCAGUGAAUCAUCGAAUCUUUGGACGCACAUUGCGCCCUUUGGUAUUCCAAAGGGCAUGCCUCUUCGAGCGUCAUUUGUACCCUCAAGCUUUGCUUGGUGUUGGGCGUCUUGUCUUUCACGAGACUCGCCUUAAAAUCAUUGGCAGCCGACCUACUGGUUUCGGAGCGCAGCACAAUUCUUGCACUUUGAAUCAGCCUUGGUUGAGCAUCCAUCACGACCCUAUUUUUUAACUUUUGACCUCCGAUCAGGUAGG